Olea europaea var. sylvestris is the source of this 6599-nucleotide long non-coding RNA. RefSeq lists it as uncharacterized. The record is from RefSeq and is a predicted model, not a curated record. The transcript is spliced from 5 exons. Lineage: Eukaryota; Viridiplantae; Streptophyta; Magnoliopsida; Lamiales; Oleaceae.
UUGACAGAUGGAUUACAGCAAAUUUGAAAAAUUCUGAGGUGGAAGUUAAAAUCAAAAUAGAAGAAUUGAUAUUAAAAACGUUAAAAUGGCGGAGACCUACAAAAGUAGCAAAGCAGGAAAACCUUCUUCAUUUUCCCCAAAUUUCCCAUUUCAUUUCCUUCUUUAGCAAAGCGGGAAUUACAUCCAUUUUCUCACUCGUCUUCUCUGUCGACGGCAAGAAAAUCAGGCCUGCACCUCCGGUCGAAAACCUUCCUCAUUUUCCUACUCUAUUCCCUUGUUCGGUAUUUCUUCCACAUCUUCUCUGUCGAUGAAAGAAAAUCGGGGCUGCAUCUGAGGACUAUUACACCCCGAUCUAACUCCAUUAACGAAAAUUAUGAUAAACCAUGGAUUUUGAGGCUUUGCGUGUACCCCGUGCAAGCAAGUUUUCACUAACUAGUGUCCGAGUGUAUGAUAAACCACGAAUUUUGAGACUUUUUCCCAUGCAUAGGAAAUUAUAGAACACUUGAUUGAUGAAUUUGUUUCGGUAUUCGAUAAUGACAAUGUUGCAGAGAAUGCCAUCAACCUAGAAGAAGAAACAUUGGGACACAAUGGGCCGAUCAUGCCUGAGGUAGGUAUAAUGUUCAACAAUAAGAAACAAUUAUUUACUUCUACAAGAGAUAUGCUUACGAUGUUGGUUUUCCAGUCCCAAAAAAAAACUCGAAGAAGGGGGCGAUGGAUUGUUGAAAUAUGUGACCUUGCCAUAUAGUCGUGAAGGCCAAAGAACGAGUAAUGCAAGUGGCUCUUUAAAUCCACAACCAAUCAGCCAGAUAGAUUAUAAAAGCAAGGAUCUCUGCUUCUUCAGAUGGUCCUGGAAUGUGAAGAAUUAACAUAGUCUACCUUGACCAUAACCAUAGAACUAGCCCUUCCAAGUCUAGGUAGUAUCGAUGCAAUAGAGAAUUGAGUACAAAUGUGAAAUGAAAACUUGAAGUGAAUGACUUGGCACGAAUUUCGUUGUACAAAACAUUCAACUCUGCAGUUGUUGAAGCAUGGGAAUAUGAGAACAUGACAUGUGUGGAAAGGAAUUAUCGUAAUUAUAUUGAGCAAGUGAGGCGAUUACUACUAAGAGAGGGAGAUGCGACCGUAAUAGAGUGUUAUUUUUCAAAUAUACAAGCAAGAUGCUCAAGUUUUUACUUCAAUAUGGAUGUAGACGACGAGUCUCACUUGAAUAACGUCUUUUGGUCUGAUAAUAGGUGUAGGCACGCAUAUAAGGAGUUUGGCAAUGUAGUCACAUUUGACACCAUUUAUCUCGCUAAUAAGUAUGACAUGCCGUUUGCACCUUUCGUUAGCGUAAAUCAUCACGGUUAAUCAAUAUUGUUCGGUUGUGAGUUGUUAUCAAAUGAGGACACAUAUAUCUUUGUCUAGCUAUUUAGGACAUGGCUUUAGUGCAUACAUGGUAGAGUCUCUCAUGGAAUAAUUACUAUUCUAGAUAGGACCAUGCAAAAUGAUAUUGAAAUUGUUUUCCUAGAUACCAAGCAUAGGUAGUGUCUGCAGCACAUUUUGAAGAAAUUGUCGAAGAAGUUCGAAUAUCAUGUGAAUAAGGUUUCCAUAUUUUCGAUUAUACAUCACUUGGUGUAUGAUUCACAGAAUAUUGAAGAAUUUGAAGCAUGUUGGAAAGAGAUGAUCGAGACAUAUGACUUAAUGGAUAAUGAAUGGUUGUCGAGGUUGUAUCUUAAUAAAGGUCAUUGGGUUUCGUGCUUUUUGAAAACCUCUUUUUGGAUAGAGAUGUUCACAACUCAACGCAGUGAGAGUCUGAAUACGUUCUUCAACGGUUAUGUCAAUUCGAAGACAUCCUUGAAGCAAUUUGUAGAACUAUAUGAACGAGCGCUCAAGAAUAAGGUUGAAAAAGAGUUCCCGGCUGAUUUCAGGUCAUACUCACAAACUGUAUCUGUGUAAUGAAUUAUGAACUCGAAAAGCAUUUUGAGACAGUCUAUACCAUUUCCAAGUUCAGGGAAGUCCAGGAUGAAUUCAAAGGUAAGGAUGUCAUAUCUGCUUCAGAAGGACCUUUUGGGACCAUGUAUGAGGUGCGUGAGGAUGUCUUUUAUGGUGAGCACAAGAAGAAGAAUAUGUUUUUUGUUCUUAUUUCAGAGAGAGACAUCUGACUUUAUAUGUAGCUGUCACUUGUUUGAGUUUUGAGAUGUUUUUAGACAUGCAGUUGUGGUAUUGAUUCGUAAUGACGUAAUGCAAUUACCUGAGCGUUAUACACUACGAAGGUGGAUGAGGGAUGUCAACAGGGCAUACACGAGGGUUGCAGCGAAUUAUGAUGGUUUGUUCAGUACCUCUAGACAGUUAAGGUACUAUAGUGUGUGUAAAGCUUUUAUGGAAGUAGCUAACAUUGCUGCAGAUGACGAGUGUCGGACAUGUACGAUAUUGGACUGGAUAAAAUUGCAAGCAUCGGAGUUGAUGUCAACAAAGUCGUAUGGUGCAAGCAAUAUUAUUUCGUGCAGACUAUACAGUUAUCCUCUCAGUCUACGCCUUCCAAACUACUACAAACGAUAUCAUAUAGGACCUCAAUGUUGCAAAGAAAAAGGGGGCAGCUCGAAGACUUUGGAGAAAGUCUGUUGGAGUUGACAUCAAAGAAAUCAGGGGCAUGUUCAACGCCAAGCAAAAGAAAGAGACCGAGACCGAGACCGAGACCGAGACCGAGACCGAGGCAGGGUAAUAAUGAAGAGGCUGCACCUAAAUUUGUAACUUCGCAAGAACAAUACUUAUCGCAGACACCAUUCUCAUAUUCACAACUAUUGUUGGGCGGUGUUGAAAUGCAUGAAUGUACAUGACCCUUGCCAACAUUGGAUGUGAUCCCACCAUUGCCAACUAGUGUUAUAUUCAGUCUACAAGGUCAUCAGUUUUCCUACUACUACACACAUAUGCCACCACAAGGUAGUCCAACCUUAUGAAUUCGUGAAAGGCUUGGUAGUUCUUUUUUAUAACUUUGAACACUAAUUGAGAAGAUUCUGUAGCUUACAAUAUUUUCCAUGGUAGGACUAGUUCUAUUUAUGUGUUAGCCAUUCAUUUUGUCCCCACUUCGUUGAAAGUUGGCCUGUGAAUUGAUUACUGUCGAGAGAAAUGAACUCCAACUGCCUCUAAAAUAUUGGAUUCCUUCAAGCCGUACCCUAACAUUGGCCAAUUCUUCGAGCAACAAGGUAACCUCCCAGUAAAACCGUUGUUAUGCAUUGUGAUUAAGAAGAAGGCCAUUGCACAAUCUAUAUGGUAGUUUACCUGUGAAGUUAUUAUAUUGAAAAACUAACAUUAUCCAAUUUGGGACUUUUCAGUUUUUCUUUGAGUUCAUGUAGAACAUCGUAUGCUUUAGGUUUGAAUCUUCUUGUUGAUUAUUGCAUAGAGGAGUUAUAUAAAAUCUCUUCGUAUGAGCUCCAUUCCUCGUUAUCCAAGUUGUAAACCAGGUUCACGUAUUAUAGCAUUUUUCCAGUUUUCAAUUCUGACAUACAAUAAACAUUACAGUUGUUGUUCUUCAUGAAUAUGGCAACUUAUAUUAGAUUUAAGUGCUCUGAAUUUACAUGAUUUUCUUUCUAUUAGUCUAGUAUUCUUCAAUUACCAUUACUAAACAUACUAUGAAAGUUUAGAAUUGGAAUUUGAAAGAAUCUUUGCCUUGGCAUGUAUAUGCAUAUGGUGCCCUGAUCUUUGUGCCUUAUGUUUCUAGGAGUCCUUGAAAAAAGGAAGAGGCAUUUUUAGAUGUGUUUGUCCUUGCAAAAUGAGCUUUUCUUGACAUCAUUUGCGGAAUGUUUAUUCCCUGUCUUACCAGAUCCUUAUUCUCGACUUCACGAGAUGCUUUUUCCUCUCAUCUCACUAUUGUCGAGCCUAGUUAUGAGACCUUGUCUAUCCAAUGUUAGCUUAUAAGACUCCAAUAAUUCAAGAACUAUUCGAAGGAUGUAUAUUCUAUGCCUCGCCAAGUGCUUAUUCUUGAGUUUUUUAUAUGCUUAUCCCUUGCUCGUCACAAUCAUCGAGCCAGCUAUAAAACCUCGUCUAUUCUAGGCAAGCUUCUAAAACUUCAUUAGUUCGAGAGCUAUUCGCGAGAUGUUUAUUCCCCACCUUGCUACAUGACUAUUCCUGGCUUCACGAGAUGUUUAUUUCUCGCAUUUCACUAUCGUCGAACCUAACUAUAAGACCUUAUAUAUUCGAGGCCAGCUUAUAAGACUUUCAAUAGUUUGAGAGCUAUUUACAGGAUAUUUAUUCCUAGCUUCGCGAGAUGCUUAUUCCCCACGUUUAUCUUUUGUUGAGCCUAGUUAUAAGACUUCAUCUAUCCAAAGUCAAUUUAUAAGACUUCAAUAAUUUGAGAGCUACUCGUAAGAUGUUUAUUCACGGGCUCGCCAUAUACUUAUUCUUGGCUUUGCGAGAUUAUUAUCCCUUAUCCCUCACUAUCGUUGAGCAAGUUAUAAGACCUCGUCAUUCAAGUUAUAAGAUCCGAUAGUUCAGGGGCUAUUCGCGAGAUGUUUGUUCUCUGCAUUGUCAAAUGUUUAUCCCUAGCUUUGAGAUAUUUUCAUUCCUCACCUUUCACUACUGUCAAGCCUAACUAUAAGAUUUUGUCCAUUCAAAGACUCUUUACAAGUCUUCAAUAGUCCAAGGCGAGCCACCAGCUUGAUAGUUAUUCUCACUUAAAGAUGUCUCGCGUAUGCUAGAUGAUUGUACUUUUGCUUCCAAUUUGGAAUUUUCUCUAUCAUAUAGCAUAGCAAUAAGAACUCAUCCUUAAGUCCACAAUAGCUCGAGAUGAGCUGUUUGCUCGAUAUUCAUUUCUCUCUUUGUGAAAUGCCUCACUAUAUGAGUUGUUGCAUUGCAGAUGUAUUUAUAUUCAAGAGAGCUCAUCAUGUCUCUAUAUCAGCUUAUUAAAGGCUAUUUAUAUACUUAGAGCCACGAAUCUACAUUAGCAAUAACACAGAUGUAUCUAUCUUCAGAAAGCUCAUCAUGCCUCUACAUCGACUACAUUACAGCUACCUAUCUUCUUGAGCUUUGCUUUUGCUUCAAUUAUGUUACAUCUACUUAUCUUUAUAAAAGCUUAUAUUAUUUAUCGUUUCUUAAGGAAAGGGGUUGGCCAACCUUAAUAUCUAUGAAGGCAAAGCCUUUCAUAGCUGGAUCAAAUACCAUGGAGGAAGAAAAGAAGUCCUUAACAUGGAUGCACCACCCCCAUGUAAGGACAUCAGUUUAUCGUAGCUACUUAUGUCCAAAGCAUUGACUCUACUAUUUAUGUCCAGAGUAUACAACUUAUAUCUAGAGCAUUACCUUUUCUACUUAUGUUCAGAGCAUCCCAUCUGCUAUUUAUACAUCAAGAGCAUCGCUCAUAUCUAGAGCAUCUUCUCUGCUACUUAUACAUGCAAAGCAUCGAUUCUACAACUUAUGUCCAGAGCAUCACCUCUGCUUCUCACAUUCAGAGCAUUACCAUUACUACUUAUAUUCAUAGUAUCGGCUCUGCAUUAGCUUCAUUACGAUUUAGAGUUACACCUCUAUCCAAAAAUCCAUGCUUUAUAUGAAUGUCCAUACUUAAACUUAGGGAUUAUCUUAGUAUCAUUAUAUGUUACUACUAGCAUAUGCAUUAUAUUAUUGCUUCCAAGUAUAUAUGCCAUAUCACUUGCUAGCAUGCUAUGAUAUUAUUUUCAUUUCAACCAGUAUCUAUGCCACGUUAUCUACAUUUUUCAUUUCAUUAUUAACAGCAUAUCACGUGCUAUGAUACAUGAUAAGCUCUCUGUAUAUUCUAUUUAAGAAAAGUUUCAUUUAACAUAAUUCACGCUAUCGUUGUUAGUAAUUUGAGGGGUAAAUGGAUCCCAGUUUAUUAUGUAUAUACAGUGGAUAUAUUAUAUUGUAUUACAAGUUGGUUUAAUCUAUAUUACAGAAAAGAUGUUGUCGUAAUUUUGAUAAAUUAUGUGAUAUCUAUCUUUCGAGGCAAUCUGUACGCCCUCACUUAUUCAAACUCGCACAAAUAUUUUAAAGAUAGUUCGUAAGUCUUCAUAUAUCGAAGCGGUUUAUAUUCUCGAGGCAAUUCAUAAGUUCACACACAUUUAGGAUUGAUGCAUAUUUUGAGGCAGUUCGUAAGCUCCGACUUAUCGGAGCUGCUCAUAUUUUUUAGGCAAUAUGUAAGAACUCAUCUACUUAACUACUUAUAUUUUGAAGUUCAACUCGCAUAUGAAUGUACUACUCAGACUUAGGGGACUGUUGUUACACCUAUAAAUUAUGUGGCAUGUAGAUGGUGGUGGUGGUCCUAUAUAUGCCAAACAUGGCUCAACUAUUCAAUUGAUUGGGUUAUUUUACAAAACAACUUCAUAUUGGGCUUGAGCUCGAUCCAUUAACCACUUGAUCCAUUAUUAUUUCCCCAUAUAUAUGUGAAUUCACUUUGCAAAAGAUAUGUUAUUCCAAUUUUGGCCAAACUACUUUUCCCGUCUCUUGCACUCAUAUUAUCUUCCGUCCGGUCAUUGACUUGACGGUCGGAGUACAAACGAUCAUCAGACAUUUUUCUCGAUCAGCGACAUUUUCCUUCUAAUGGGAUAUUCAGUAUGCAAGUGAUACCUAUGUGGAGGAGACGUGAUGAGAAUUCUGCUGGCCCUUUUUUUUUUUUUUUU